Molecule: long non-coding RNA, 905 nt
Organism: Rosa rugosa (rugosa rose)
Lineage: Eukaryota; Viridiplantae; Streptophyta; Magnoliopsida; Rosales; Rosaceae
Exons: 3
Source: RefSeq, a predicted model, not a curated record
UCCUCCCCCGCGUUUUUCUCUCUCCCUUCGGCGAUCUGCAGCUCCGACACUUCCUCCUUUUCCGGCCACCUGGUGGUGCAAGGUUGGUAUCAGUAGACUCGUCUCCUCCUCCUCUCGACGCUGGUAGUGGUAACUCAUGGCGGUUUGGCCGGAAAACGACGCAUCGAGCAUUGAAAGUUUACUGUAGCAGUUUAAGUCAACGCCGUUUUCUUCCGAUUCCGGCCACCCCAGACGAUAAAGUUAGGUUCUUUGGAAGCGCCUUGGGAUGUAGAUGCUACCCCCUGAAUCGUGUGCAGCGAUUUGAAGCAUGGAGGAAGAACUGACGGCUGGAAGAUUACGAUCACUAUUCACGGUUCGAGUUCAAGCUUCUCCUUAAUUGUUGAGGGCGACGUGCCAAGCUAUUGCUCGACGUAGGAAACCGGUAGCGUGGUCGCCUAAAUAGUACUAUUCUUUGGUACUAUUAUUUGGUGCAAAUUCGAAUCUCAGGACCGGCCCUGGACAGACUUGUGAACCAAACUGGGCGGCUUGUUCUGCUUCCUGGUCUUAGUGGUGGCGAGCACCACCGACUAGUCUUUGCCUCCGGGCUGAAUACUCACAGUCUUCUUGUUCGCCAAACCGGAGUGCUUGUAGUAGUGGAGGUUGCAGAGGUUGUUAGGCUCCUUGCUGAAGCGAACGCCGGCGUGGCUCCGGCCAAACUGCUUGACCAAGAAAAAGUUCUUCUUCUUGACGAUCUCCCAGAUCAGCUGUCCUAGAACGAUGGCCAUUGGAACCUAGCAAAAGUUCUGUAGAGGGUUUCGCACAGAGAGAGGGUAGUUGAUUCUUAAAAAAUUAGAUCGUGUACUAAAAAAUUAAUAAAAGUAUUAAGUAAUGUAUUAUGAUGCUCAGUUGCACCAAGUUAUUAUGUA